GACGAACGCUGGCGGCGUGCUUAACACAUGCAAGUCGAACGGAAAGGCCUCUUUCGGGGGGUACUCGAGUGGCGAACGGGUGAGUAACACGUGAGUAACCUGCCCUUGACUUUGGGAUAACUUCAGGAAACUGGGGCUAAUACCGGAUAGGAGCUCCUGCUGCAUGGUGGGGGUUGGAAAGUUUCGGCGGUUGGGGAUGGACUCGCGGCUUAUCAGCUUGUUGGUGGGGUAGUGGCUUACCAAGGCUUUGACGGGUAGCCGGCCUGAGAGGGUGACCGGCCAGAUUGGGACUGAGAUACGGCCCAGACUCCUACGGGAGGCAGCAGUGGGGAAUAUUGCACAAUGGGUGGAAGCCUGAUGCAGCAACGCCGUGUGCGGGAUGACGGCCUUCGGGUUGUAAACCGCUUUCGCUCAUGACGAAGCUUUGUGUGACGGUAGUGGGUAAAGAAGCACCGGCUAACUACGUG
RNAcentral lists this ribosomal RNA (467 nucleotides) under uncultured bacterium. Its description in RNAcentral is "partial 16S ribosomal RNA". It matches the Rfam family "Bacterial small subunit ribosomal RNA", at positions 28 to 507 of the family's 1533-position model. The record is from RNAcentral.